UGGGGAAUAUUGGACAAUGGGGGCAACCCUGAUCCAGCCAUGCCGCGUGAGUGAUGAAGGCCUUAGGGUUGUAAAACUCUUUCAGUGGUGACGAUAAUGACGGUAACCACAGAAGAAGCCCCGGCUAACUCCGUGCCAGCAGCCGCGGUAAUACGGAGGGGGCUAGCGUUGCUCGGAAUUACUGGGCGUAAAGCGCGCGUAGGCGGACUAUUAAGUCAGGGGUGAAAUCCCGGGGCUCAACCCCGGAACUGCCUUUGAUACUGGUAGUCUAGAGUUCGAGAGAGGUGAGUGGAAUUCCGAGUGUAGAGGUGAAAUUCGUAGAUAUUCGGAGGAACACCAGUGGCGAAGGCGGCUCACUGGCUCGAUACUGACGCUGAGGUGCGAAAGCGUGGGGAGCAAACAGGAUUAGAUACCCCCGUAGUCC
This 424-nucleotide ribosomal RNA is filed under the name uncultured prokaryote. RNAcentral's name for it is "bacterial SSU rRNA". It matches the Rfam family "Bacterial small subunit ribosomal RNA", at positions 355 to 796 of the family's 1533-position model. The record is from RNAcentral.